AGAGGACCCGUUGGUGGCAUUGCAGCGGAGGCCCUGACUGUGAGACCGCGGCCGGAGGACUGACGAGAUUGGGUGCGAACGGGGACGACGGAAGAGGAAAGGAGGAGUGUGAAGUCCGGCUGUCACUCUCCAGAUAACUGAGUAGCGUGGGGAGCAGGCGGAGCAUCUAACAAUGCACCCCAGAAGUGCGGUCAUUUUCGUCUUCUUCGUUGCAGGCUGUGGUCUUUUAAUGGCGGACGGAGCACGCCUUCUUCGGGGUUUUGACCACACUGCCUACGGUAACGUGCGGUCGCUGAUCUCCGGAAUACAUUCCGUUGUGCGCGUCGAGGGCCACCCGGAAGAGUGUGUCAUUAAUGGCAGGCUGGGGUUCAUUUUGAGCAGCGGGUCUUGCGUCGAGGCCGUCACGACACCGCCCUGCGCCGGGUGCUACGGUUCCUGUGGUGAUGUGUGCUGUCCCCGCUGGCCCUGCUGAGUCAGCCUGGAGAAGCCGUGUUACUCAGAGACGGGUGCGCUGAGCCAGCCCGGCUGCGGACGGUUGUGUGCUCACAUGGCUUGUUGCGGAGUCGCUGUGCUAAAGAAACACUGACACUGAUGUCAGAGCUUGGUUUGACCAUGAGUGGUGAUGAACCCGCGGCGUCACCCUGUGAUAUGUGCCGCUAAUAGAAAAACUUGGGUUCGAAAGCCAUGAGCCUCGCAGUCAACUAACUAGACAGCACGUUUGCAGGAUUGGCAUGUAUUUGUAUGGAGCUCAUUUUACGGGCCAUACAAGUUAUUUGAAAUGUAAAGAAAUGACUAAAGCUAUUGUUUGGUGUUAGCUGAAAUAAAGCAUCUUAGUUUUCCGUUGAGCCGGUAACCGACACCAAUAAAGCUACAAAAAGUGAUUGGUGUGGGUGACAGACGACGCGAAAAAGUCGCACACUACAAGAAAAGGUGGCUCGUUAUUUGCAACAGAUGCAGGCG
Pollicipes pollicipes is the source of this 960-nucleotide long non-coding RNA. RefSeq lists it as uncharacterized. The transcript is spliced from 3 exons. NCBI's taxonomy places the organism in Eukaryota, Metazoa, Arthropoda, Thecostraca, Pollicipedomorpha, Pollicipedidae. The record is from RefSeq and is a predicted model, not a curated record.